Molecule: ribosomal RNA, 459 nt
Filed under: uncultured bacterium
Lineage: Bacteria
Description: partial 16S ribosomal RNA
Rfam family: Bacterial small subunit ribosomal RNA
Source: RNAcentral
CCUACGGGUGGCAGCAGUGAGGAAUAUUGGUCAAUGGGCGUAAGCCUGAACCAGCCAAGUCGCGUGAGGGAUGAAGGUUCUAUGGAUCGUAAACCUCUUUUAUAAGGGAAUAAAGUGUGGGACGUGUCCUAUUUUGUAUGUACCUUAUGAAUAAGGAUCGGCUAACUCCGUGCCAGCAGCCGCGGUAAUACUGAGGAUCCGAGCGUUAUCCGGAUUUAUUGGGUUUAAAGGGUGCGUAGGCGGCCUUUUAAGUCAGCGGGGAAAUCGCGGGGCUCAACCCCGCUCCGCCGUUGAAACUGUGUCCCUUGAGUGCGCGAAGGGUAGGCGGAAUGCGUGGUGUAGCGGUGAAAUGCAUAGAUAGCACGCAGAACUCCGAUCGCGAAGGCAGCCUACCGGCGCGCAACUGACGCUCAUGCACGAAAGCGUGGGUAUCGAACAGGAUUAGAUACCCCUGUAGUC